UCACCUCCCUAGAGCCUCUGCUUCCUCAUCCAAGACUGGGGGUAUAGCUGUGCUCACCCACUAACACUGCUGUAUUGUUUAACGUAAAGGCAAGAUGAGAACAUGGAGUUUCAACCUGAAAGGCAUUGAGCACGUUGGUUGUCAUUACUGUUGGGUGACUUCCUACUUUCCCUGCGUACCUCUGAAAGGAGAACUAUUUUGCUUAUUACUGAGUUGCAAUUUCCUUCUAUAUUCUGAAUACAAAUUCAUCAUCAGAUAUAUGUGUUGUGAAGUUUUCUUCGAGGAUUUUCCAGGGUUGCAUCUCUGUGGCUUAGACGUUGGCCACUUCAUCUUGGCAUGACUAUUAUAUAACAGGAGGAUGGAGAAAUGGCCGG
This 374-nucleotide long non-coding RNA is filed under the name Homo sapiens (human). Its description in RNAcentral is "CCDC26 long non-coding RNA". The record is from RNAcentral. Lineage: Eukaryota; Metazoa; Chordata; Mammalia; Primates; Hominidae.